UCUAAGUUUGGGGUGGGACAUCGGUAAGAACUAGAUAAGUGCGGAUGAAAUGAAAAAAUAUAGUUGUGAAACUUCAAGAAAAAAAAUGGAAAAAAAAUUUAGAAGUAAAAUAAAGCACUUAUCUAGAGGAGAUUUAGUUUGGCAAAAAUCUUGCUCAAAGGAGCGCAUGAAAAAAAGAGAGCUAAUGAGUCCUAACAAGAACGGUGUCCAAAAAAUUCUUAGUUGAGAGAUUGAACAUAAUGAUAAGGAUGACAACACAAACUUUG
This 266-nucleotide long non-coding RNA is filed under the name Lathyrus oleraceus (garden pea). Its description in RNAcentral is "Pisum sativum (pea) long non-coding RNA (PSAT_LNC019257)". The record is from RNAcentral. Lineage: Eukaryota; Viridiplantae; Streptophyta; Magnoliopsida; Fabales; Fabaceae.